CUGCUGUAGACUUUAACUCAUCUCUAGAUUAUGUACCUUGCCAUGUGAUAUGGUGAGUAUAGUUUCUAAUGCUGUAUCUGAAGGGACCAGCUCCCCAUUUCGGCAGCCAUAACAGCCGAACACAUACUUGUCUGACCUUGUCCUAGUCAUUAGAAGUCAGAUGCCUGCCUCGUGGCAAGGAACCAAUCAGAAGUUAGCUGGCAGCGCUAUGCUUUACGGCUCUGGGUGUGCUUUACGGACAAGUGCACAGCAAUGAUGCACAGAGCAUAGCAACCACCCUGGGAGGGCCUAUGGACCAUAACAACCAGUUGGCCAAUCAACACAGGGCAAACCCUCCAAGCCUGGAGGCACACCAAUCCUGAGCCUGUGCAUACCUCUAGACACUCCCCUUAUGCUGCCCUAUAAGAUCUCUAUGCAGUGGCUUCGAAGCGUCUUUUCUAGCCAUCCUUCAUGGUGGAUGAAUGAAAGGCCCGAGCUAACAUGGGGUUAGCUCGUUAAACAAUUGCAAUAAAGCCUCGUGCUUUUUGCAUCAAGUUUCUGCCUCUGCAUGGUGAUUGGGGUGGCCGCGGUCAUGGGCUGAGAUCCUGGGGGCCUGAGCCUCUGGAGGUCUUUCAUUUGGGGGCUCGUCCUAGAUUUGAGACCACCCGUCACCUGAGUGGAGUCGAUCUUGGAGGUAAGGUCGAGCUCGAAACCUAUAUGUUUGAUAAUGUGCCUUGUAAUGUCCAUGUUUGAUAAUGUGUCUUGUUAUGUACAUGUUUGAUAAUGUGUCUUGUUAUGUCUCUUGCUGUUUGACUUGGAUUUGAAUCUGUGCCUGCGCAGGACUUGUAUUUGGUAAUAUGGACCACAGGGAGGUAGAUGUGCCCUGAGCCUCUUGGUUCCACCCUGGACAAAAGUCCAAGGGUUGUUUGUAAUUUUGGUUUGGCACCAUGUCUGUAAUUUGGUCUGCCUCGAGGUUUGUCCUGUCUGUAUUGUUCGUCCUUCUGUUUUUACAGUUUGUGUCUAUUUCGUCCUCCCCAUGGGGCUAGCCAUCUGAAAUUCUGAAUAGGACCCUAGUCUGUGUUACUGUGCUGUCUGUCCAAGUUUCACAUUUGUGCUGUGUGUUUGUUAAGCCUGUCUUUGUCUUUUGUCCUGACUCUGGAGGUCUAUCAGAACAGCUUCUGCUCUCUGGACUCCAGCGGCGUCUCUCUCUCUCUCUGUCCUUACUGCCCACGCACAUGGCAUGCGUGGGUCAGGCGUCUUUUCUUGCCCUGAGCACGUGGUGUGUGGGACAGGAGUUCCUCUGCCAUGUGCUAUGGGUUAGAGUGUGCUGCGGUGGAGUCCCCUGAGGCUGCUGCUCUGAACUCCAACCACUGCUGGGCCCUCACAGCUGAGCCUGGCUGGUGCAGGUGAGUCUGUUUUUCCAUUCUCACAUGCUGGUCUGUGAGGCAUGUGAAGUGGGGCUCUCUCGGCCCCAACUGCCAUCCUGCCAUGGGUCCUGGCUUGCCUCGGGAGUUUCCUUGCCCUGAGCACACGGCUGCAAGGCUACCAUUUGCCUGGCUGCCCGGCCUUCUCUGUGUUGCACACACAUGGUAUGCAGGGAAACCUCGGGGGUCUUUUUCCCACGCCUGCAUUGGCAGAGGGUCUGGGAUUACCAGAAGCACCCGCCCCCAGGUCUCUGCCCUGAGAACAUGGAGCUGGAGUGGAUGAACCAUCUGGCCUGAUCUGGACAUUCUAAAGAAACUGCCUUAAAGUUAUUAAAAACCAUAAAAAGGACUUUGAUAAGAGUUUUUAUGUUGACUGAGAAAUGAGAAAAAAAUGUAGGAGACUAAAAUAAUAAAGAGGGAAAGGGAAAGAGAAAUUUGUCUAAGAAUGUCUAAGAAAAUCAGAGGAAUGAACUGAAGGUAUAUAGAAAGUUAUAGAGGGUUAAAGAAAGUCGUAGAAGGUCAGAAGAAAGUUGUCAAAGGUCAGAGAAAAGGUUGUUAAAAGUCAGAGAAAAAUGUAAACUGUUUGUUAUGGUUUCUCAUGUCUACAAAUAGUAAAUUUUAAAAAUUGAUAACAUAAGUUAAAAUUUUAACCAUAUUAAAUUAAUUCUGUUUAAAAAGUUCUGUUUAUUUCUCAAGUAAAUUAUGUAUGUUUGUUUUAAAAUGUUCUGUUUCCUGGCAUAACCUACAUUACAUGCAUACAGCUAAAACAAAUGGUGCAGGUCACCGCCAUUUUGCAGCCAGCCACAUGGCAAGCUGGUCACAUGGCUGACUGGUAGCCAUUUUGCUGAAGUUGAAAAAAGAUACUUAAAUCGCCAUCUUGACUAAAGGUGACCACAUGGAAAUUAGAGUUUAUAAUAUCAGACAGACUGCCAGAUCCUGACAGGGACCCAAAGUCUCCAAAGAAGAUUAUGAGGCACCCCAGUUCCUGCACCUGGAUGAUGACGACAAUGACCAGUGAGCGAGAUGCUCAGAUGUGACACCUGCUGCCUGCCAGGACCUGGCCGAAACUGUGGACAAAACUGCUGGACACUGGAAAAUUGAUUGUACCCCUUUGCCUAGACAAAACAAGACACAUCUGAGUAUCGGUUGCUGACUACAGGCUGUUUCUAAGCAGACUGCGGGCCCUGGACUUGCUGUGGAUGUGAACCAGUCCAGCUGAUAUGGACACCCCCUGUCUCUGCAACAGAGUCUGCCAACCAGAAGCUCCUGAUGAUUCCCCAUUGCCUAAAUUCCCUUUUUUGCUUUUGACUAGCAUUUCAGCCUUCUUUGGUCCCUAACUUCGUCCCAAAGUCAGCAGGAAGUAGCAUGGGAAAGAAUACAUCACCCAUUUUCCAGGGUUGAAAUGCUAAGUCAGAAGGAACUCCCUUCAUAAGGGAUGCUAAUAUCUCUCACUCCCUGAUGGGGAUGCUGGAGAGACAGCAAUUCCAUGAUUGGAGUCUCCAAAAAAGAAAAAAUGGGGGAAUGAAGGGACCAGCUCCCCAUUUCGGCAGCCAUAACAGCCAAACACAUACUUGCCUGACCUUGUCUUGGUCACUAGGAGAUCAGAUGCCUGCCUCGUGGCAAGGAACCAAUCAGAAGUUAGCUGGCGGCGCUAUGCUUUACAGCUCUGGGUGUGCUUUACAGACAAGUGCACAGCAAUGACGUGCAGAGCAUAGCAACCACCCUGGGAGGGCCUAUGGACCAUAACAACCAGUUGACCAAUCAACACAGGGCAAACCCUCCAAGCCUGGAGGCACAACAAUCCUGAGCCUGUGCAUACCCCUAGACACUCCCUAAUGCUGCCCUAUAAGAGCUCUAUGCAGAUGCUUUGAGCUGUCUUUCCUAGCCAUUCCUAGCCAUCCGCCAUGGUGGAUGGAUGAAAGGCCUGAGCUAACAUGGGGUUAGCUCGUUAAACAACUGUAAUAAAGCCUCUUGCUGUUUGCAUCAAGUUUCU
Molecule: long non-coding RNA, 3396 nt
Filed under: Cricetulus griseus (Chinese hamster)
Lineage: Eukaryota; Metazoa; Chordata; Mammalia; Rodentia; Cricetidae
Description: lncRNA (ENSCGRG00015040615.1)
Source: RNAcentral